UAUGUGUCCCACCCCUGUGAUUGAGCACAAUAUCAGAGCGUCUGUCAGUCAGACUGUGAAUCAACAUCACUGUUCUUCAGUUCUCUCUUAUUCCCAGUAAAGAUGAGGACACUCGCUCUGAUCAUCUGCUCUCUGCUGCUGCUCCUCAAUGAGUGUAGAGGACAGAUCAGCGUCACUCAGAGUCCCUCAACGACAGCAGCUCAACCAGGAGAAACAGUGAAGAUCAGCUGUAGAACCAGCAGAGAUGUGUUUGUAUGGGCUAAUCGGGAUCAUUAUUUACACUGGUACUUACAGAAACCUGGAGAAGCUCCUAAACUCCUGAUUUAUGGAAUACGCCACCUCCAGUCAGGAACUCCAUCUAGAUUCAGCGGCAGUGGAUCUAACAGUGAUUUCACUCUGAGCAUCAGU
Molecule: non-coding RNA, 408 nt
Organism: Carassius auratus (goldfish)
Lineage: Eukaryota; Metazoa; Chordata; Actinopteri; Cypriniformes; Cyprinidae
Source: the annotation of a RefSeq genome assembly